This 478-nucleotide ribosomal RNA is filed under the name uncultured Planctomycetota bacterium. Its description in RNAcentral is "bacterial SSU rRNA". It matches the Rfam family "Bacterial small subunit ribosomal RNA", at positions 8 to 474 of the family's 1533-position model. Lineage: Bacteria; Pseudomonadati; Planctomycetota. The record is from RNAcentral.
AGAGUUUGAUCCUGGCUCAGAACGAACGCUGGCGGCGUGGCUAAGACAUGCAAGUCGAACGGACUAGUGUAUUCAUAUAUUAGUUAGUGGCGUAAGGGUUAGUAACAGAUGGGUAACGUACCCUGUGCAUACGGGAUAGCGUCAGUUGCUUCGGCAACUUUCCGAAAGGGGCGGUAAUACCGAAUAAUAUCAGGAGUCGAUAGGCUCCUGAUCAAAGAUUUAUCGGCGCAGGAGCGGCCUGUCUCCUAUCAGCUUGUUGGUGAGGUAAUGGCUCACCAAGGCAUCGACGGGUAGCGGGACUGAGAGGUUGACCCGCAACAUCGGGACUGAGACACUGCCCGGACCUCCACGGAGGGCUGCAGUAACGAAUAUUGCGCAAUGGGCGAAAGCCUGACGCAGCGACGCCGCGUGUAGGAGGAAGUCCCUCGGGAUGUAAACUACUGUCAGGGGGAAGAAAGUGCGCUUCGGCGCAUUGAUC